Molecule: ribosomal RNA, 643 nt
Filed under: uncultured bacterium
Lineage: Bacteria
Description: bacterial SSU rRNA
Rfam family: Bacterial small subunit ribosomal RNA
Source: RNAcentral
CGCGGCCUAUCAGCUUGUUGGUGAGGUAGUGGCUCACCAAGGCGACGACGGGUAGCCGGCCUGAGAGGGUGACCGGCCACACUGGGACUGAGACACGGCCCAGACUCCUACGGGAGGCAGCAGUGGGGAAUAUUGCACAAUGGGCGCAAGCCUGAUGCAGCGACGCCGCGUGAGGGAUGACGGCCUUCGGGUUGUAAACCUCUUUCAGUAGGGAAGAAGCGAAAGUGACGGUACCUGCAGAAGAAGCGCCGGCUAACUACGUGCCAGCAGCCGCGGUAAUACGUAGGGCGCAAGCGUUAUCCGGAUUUAUUGGGCGUAAAGAGCUCGUAGGCGGUUUGUCGCGUCUGCCGUGAAAGUCCGGGGCUUAACCCCGGAUCUGCGGUGGGUACGGGCAGACUAGAGUGAUGUAGGGGAGACUGGAAUUCCUGGUGUAGCGGUGAAAUGCGCAGAUAUCAGGAGGAACACCGAUGGCGAAGGCAGGUCUCUGGGCAUUAACUGACGCUGGGGAGCGAAAGCAUGGGGAGCGAACAGGAUUAGAUACCCUGGUAGUCCAUGCCGUAAACGUUGGGCACUAGGUGUGGGGAACAUUCCACGUUUUCCGCGCCGUAGCUAACGCAUUAAGUGCCCCGCCUGGGGAGUACGG